GUGGACGGAGAAAGGUCUGUGUCCAGAGAGGCACUUAGUGCUGAGGAGCUGCCCGAAUUGCCCCGGGGCACGGUACCCCCCCCAAGCCGCCGCCGCCACCCCUGACCUGACGUUUUGUUGGUGCUUUUUGAAGGGGACGCCACGUCAGGAGGUGAGAAGAAAACCUGAUGCCCCCCCCCAAGCACGUUUCUUUUGGAGAAACAUGUGGCCUGUAGAGCUUCGUUUGGGACGAGGAGAGGUGACUGUUUCCAGGAGGUGAAAAACGUCAGGAACGGCUUAGGUCAGAGCGUCCCCAAGUAACUGGAGGCACUCUUGCUUAUGACUGUUGUUGCUGUGCUGAAAACCCACGGGUUGAAGUACUGCCUCACGAUAACAUAGAUGGCAAUAUGAGAUACAGAUCUAGAGAGAUCUGUAGGACUAAAGCAAUGCCCUGCUUAGGGGCGCAGUCCCUCGGAGUGUUUGAGGAUGAGCAGUGUCACCUGAGGGCGGACAGCAGUGGCUCUCGUGGGAUGGCUGCACCGACUGAAGGCAGACGAAAUUCUGGCGUUCGUCAAAUCACGUCAGCACGGUUGUGGUGGAGCAAGUGCCAGCAGAGGUCACGAUCCUCGUCUCCUGUCGACCCUCAGCACAUCCUGGUAUCCAAGAGAGCCCUGAACAUUCCAGGCAGGCCAAGAGUUGUGCCCCAGUAUCUCUGAGAGUCCACAGCUCUGCAGUUCUCCAGUAGGGCACUACAG
Molecule: long non-coding RNA, 734 nt
Organism: Haliaeetus leucocephalus (bald eagle)
Lineage: Eukaryota; Metazoa; Chordata; Aves; Accipitriformes; Accipitridae
Exons: 4
Source: RefSeq, a predicted model, not a curated record